Long non-coding RNA from Nicotiana tabacum (common tobacco), 864 nucleotides. RefSeq lists it as uncharacterized. NCBI's taxonomy places the organism in Eukaryota, Viridiplantae, Streptophyta, Magnoliopsida, Solanales, Solanaceae. The record is from RefSeq and is a predicted model, not a curated record.
CCCCCAAUUCAAAUCCUGGGCGGCAGGAAAUCGACUCCGCCGCCGAGCACCGCUUUGCCACCACCUCGUUGACCGCUGCCGGAUCGCCCCACGGCGGCGGGUCACCUCCAAUCGUCCCCAAAUUUUUACCGUACACUCCUCAUCCUCUCCUCAUUCCUAAUCUAUCAUCGCCUUCCCCAAAAAUCUACACAAACUCCACGAUAGUGGAUCUGAGAAAUCAUCAAAAUCCAAAAUCGCCUCUUUUCUUCUCUGGUUCCAUUCCGACCAAUUUGUCACUGAAACUUAUAUCAAUCAAUGGCUUUUUGCAUAAGCUGUCGAUUGAUUUUAGUUUUAGGUCGAUUGGUGGUCGCCGGAGGCCGGUCAAAUCGCCUUUGACCGGCCAGAAACUUUUUAUCCCCCUCGUCUCUUUCCUCUUUCUUUAACCCUGUUAUUUUGAGUUUCACCUGAAUCUCAUAAGUCUUUCUACCAAGAUGAUUCCUCUUGAUUUCAUAUCUAAGAAGAAUCUCUUAGAAGAAAGACCUUUGAGGGUCGGGUAACCCACGCAGAAGUCGUCUCGUUUGUUCCCGGUGGUAAAUUUUAUUUGCCUCAUCAUUUUUCUUCGUGGCCGUCACUGUCCGCAAUCCUCUUCGCCGGCGUUUGAUACUCCUGUUGCUUUGCGCUUGUGAUUGCAAAUUAAGAAUCAGCUUAGAAGAUCGCACGUACUGGUGGAUUAUCACUGUCUCUGCAGUUGAUCUCAUUAACUGGAAAUUUGUAGUUAAUUCGAGAUAAUAUCUGUGGUUAUACAUGUAAUUCAUUUCGUAUUGGGUUGUAUAUAAUUAAUUGUGAUUUUGAUCAUUUGAAAUUGGUUAUUAGUUAAUUUUUUCA